UACCAGCACCCCGAGUGGUCGGGACGAUUAUUGGGCCUAAAGCAUCCGUAGCCGGUCCUACAAGUCUUCCGUUAAAUCCACCUGCUUAACAGAUGGGCUGCGGAAGAUACUAUAGGGCUAGGAGGCGGGAGAGGCAAGCGGUAACUCAGUGGGUAGGGGUAAAAUCCUCUGAUCCAUUGAAGACCACCAGUGGCGAAGGCGGCUUGCCAGAACGCGCUCGACGGUGAGGGAUGAAAGCUGGGGGGAGCAAACCGG
RNAcentral lists this ribosomal RNA (255 nucleotides) under uncultured bacterium. RNAcentral describes it as "partial 16S ribosomal RNA". It matches the Rfam family "Archaeal small subunit ribosomal RNA", at positions 474 to 727 of the family's 1478-position model. The record is from RNAcentral.